This 292-nucleotide unclassified non-coding RNA is filed under the name uncultured fungus. Its description in RNAcentral is "partial contains small subunit ribosomal RNA, internal transcribed spacer 1, and 5.8S ribosomal RNA". The stretch from base 1 to 73 matches the Rfam family "Eukaryotic small subunit ribosomal RNA", at positions 1759 to 1831 of the family's 1831-position model. The record is from RNAcentral. Lineage: Eukaryota; Fungi.
ACAAACUUGGUCAUUUAGAGGAAGUAAAAGUCGUAACAAGGUCUCCGUUGGUGAACCAGCGGAGGGAUCAUUACAGAGUUGCAAAACUCCCAAACCCUUGUGAACGUACCUGUCGAAAAGUUGCUUCGGUGGGCGGCCCCAGGGCGGGGCCUCGGCCUCUUUUGCGAGGUGCCCACCGGAGGUUUUUUCCAAACUCUUUGCAUUAUACGGUGGCCUCUCUGAGUACGUAUCAUAAUAAGUCAAAACUUUCAACAACGGAUCUCUUGGUUCUGGCAUCGAUGAAGAACGCAGC